Molecule: non-coding RNA, 393 nt
Rfam family: transfer-messenger RNA
About the family: Bacterial tmRNA, also known as 10Sa RNA or SsrA, is named for its dual tRNA and mRNA-like properties. Its role is to liberate the mRNA from a stalled ribosome.
Source: Rfam
GGGGGUGUACUGGCUUUGACAGGUACAACAAGAUAUAGCAAGGCAGUGGUGUGGUUACCUUAAAUACCAAUAUUUUCUUAAAUGCAAACAAAAAAGAAGACAAAGCUGUGGAUGUAAAUCUAUUAGCAAGUCAAUCAUUUAACUCAAAUCUAGCAUUCGCUUAAUAUUUUGAAGCUAGUGGAAGUUGUUUAAUCUUGUGUAACAAACUUUCUCAUAUAACAAGAUCGCUUUAAUAAUUCUAUUUUAUUAUAUAAGGUUAAAUUUUUUAAAAUAGUUAAUUAGAUUUACUUUUUGUAGUUUUAGUAGUUUAAUUAAAAACAAAAAACUAAUAAACUGUAGACUUAUAUAUGCUUUUGUAUGUGGACCGGGGUUCGACUCCCCGCAUCUCCACCA